UUGCAGGUAACCCAAGAAAUUUUAAAUGAAUCCCUAACCAAUCACAGUUAGGCAUCAAUUUGAAAUUAAUUCCUAACCAAUCACAGUUAGGCAUCAAUUUCCUCCGCUCUACCCUCUUGUGGGAAAGACGAAGACCUCCCACCCGUUCCACUCCACUCCAGCAGCCAUUAUACUGUCUGCGCGGGCACUGGCCUGCACAACUUUCAACAUCUGGAUAUACCUGCUGUGGAAGGUGAGUGAACAGAGGGCAGGCAUCAACAGUUGAGGAAAUGUCCUUGAUAAAUCUCUCAACUGCCUGGAGGAAAAGCAGAUACCGAUUAAUAGCUUGUCCAAUGAUGGAGAAAUACAUUUAAAGGACAAUGGGAAAAGGAUCAUGGAGAAGUUGAUGACAAAGGAGGUAAUGGCCAGUUUCAAUAUGAAGGGCGGGAAAGGAACAUCUUUACAAUGUUGUCACAGAGUGUCUAGAGGACUUCAAAGGAGACGGAGGCAAACAUUGGAGCGGCUGUCGCCGUAUGUUUAAAAUAUGCCCCAGACAGGCAGGGGCGGAGGUUGCAGGAAAAAAAAAUUGUACGAUUUUAGAAUAAGGAUAAUAAUGUUAAGUAUAAAUGGUUGAAAACCUUCUGUUAAAAUAAUGUAAAAAAAAAAAAAGAAUAAAAUAAAAGGUUAUUUUAUAAUCCAUUUAAUUUCUUUGUCAUUUAUCUAAUAAACAUCAUUUGUGGAUUACAGUUCACUAAAAAUUAAAUUACUUUUCUGUUUGCUCUUGUCUUAAGAUAAAUACUUUUGGGUUGUCUUGCAUUGGAUCUUGACCUCUGUUCGAACCUUGUUGUUACAUGAAGUUUCUUUUGAUGAAACUUCAUGUAGUUUUAUGUCAUGCCAACAAAAUUACCAUAUAUUUCUUUAAAGUUGGAAUUUGACAGCUUAAUGUUGUGUUUUGACAGAUAUCUGACAUCAAAAAUUCAUUGUCUGUCCACGGUUGGACGUCAGCCCAACAUGUGAGUUUGAUGUUUAGCUUAACAUUGGGGUCUGACACUUAAAACUGAUUCAUUUUCAACCAAAAGGCAAUGUCCAACGUUGGAGGUUUACCCAGCAC
Molecule: non-coding RNA, 1090 nt
Organism: Pimephales promelas (fathead minnow)
Lineage: Eukaryota; Metazoa; Chordata; Actinopteri; Cypriniformes; Leuciscidae
Source: RefSeq, a predicted model, not a curated record